GAUGAACGCUGGCGGCGUGCCUAAUACAUGCAAGUCGAGCGAACAGACGAGGAGCUUGCUCCUCUGACGUUAGCGGCGGACGGGUGAGUAACACGUGGAUAACCUACCUAUAAGACUGGGAUAACUUCGGGAAACCGGAGCUAAUACCGGAUAAUAUAUUGAACCGCAUGGUUCAAUAGUGAAAGACGGUUUUGCUGUCACUUAUAGAUGGAUCCGCGCCGCAUUAGCUAGUUGGUAAGGUAACGGCUUACCAAGGCGACGAUGCGUAGCCGACCUGAGAGGGGGAUCGGCCACACUGGAACUGGACAACGUUCCAAACUCCUACGGGGGGCAGCAGUGGGGAAUUUUCCGCAAUGGGCGAAAGCCUGAAGGGGAAACGCCGGGGGGGGGAUGAAGGUCUUCGGAUCGUAAAACUCUGUUUUUAGGGAAAAAAAAAUGUGUAAGUAACUAUGCCCGUCUUGACGGUACCUAAUCAGAAAGCCACGGCUAACUACGG
This 496-nucleotide ribosomal RNA is filed under the name uncultured bacterium. RNAcentral's name for it is "partial 16S ribosomal RNA". It matches the Rfam family "Bacterial small subunit ribosomal RNA", at positions 28 to 506 of the family's 1533-position model. The record is from RNAcentral.